ACCAGCAGGUUUAUCUGAAAAAACCUCCAGUUUCUCUCCGUCUCCGCCCUCUUUCAGCCACACACGCUGUUUCAUUUCCUCAUUCAUUCAGUCAGUAAGCGAGCGAGUUUUGGCGUAGAACAGCUUUUAUUAACGAUCCAGUGGAUAAAGGAGCAGCAUUACUGCACAGAUAAUUAAAUAUUCGUCGGUAGAUUGUUAUCAGACCGCGCAUAAAUGUUCUCGCAUUUCCGGACAAUUAUCAGUUUGAGCGGUACCGUUUCGUAAUCGUUUCAAGUCCAUAAUCUACAUAAACAACCUAAUCCGUCCUUACAUUUACAUUACCAACCAGUCAUGCUCUCACAUCCAGCAGAUAUUGUGUGUUGCGCUGCGGUUCUUUGCAAAUGAAAGUUUUUAUAUAAUGUCGGAGAUGCAGAGCACUACAGUAAGACAACUGUAUGCAGGACAGUCAGAAAAGUUUUCCUGGCUCUGAAACGACUUUUACUCAUCAUUGUGGACAUAAACCUGUCAGAACAUCAAGAGGAGAUCCACAGGAUUACAGGUGAAUGAUGUAGAGAUCUGUUAAAUUCAUUUUAAAUCAUAUUCUGUUAAUGACAUUGUGCUGCAGCCUCAGACUGGGAUUAGUCAUUUUAAUUUCUUUUGGGAUUUCCCAGUGUGAUUGGCUGCAUAGAUGCACACACAUCCCCAUCACAGCUCCCUCACAUCAUGAAUAGGAAGUCCAUUCACAGCAUAAAUGUGCAGGUAGGCUACAGGUAGACUGACUACUGUUUCUAAAUGUUAAAGACUGCAUCAUAGUUCAACAUCUGUCAUUCUCUGCACUGUCCAGAUCAGAUGUGAUGCUGCAUACAUCAUUUCUAAUGUGGAGGCCAAGUGGUCUGGGUCUGUUCAUGACUCCAGGAUUUAUGGAGAGUCUAACCUGAGCAACAGACUGCAGCGUGGAGAGUUUGAUGGCCUUCUGCUGGGUGACAGGGGUUACCAUGCCAACCCAGGCUGAUGACCUCAUACCCUGACCCUGAACCAGGCCCCCAACAGAACUUCAACCGGACUCACUGCAGGACCAGAGCCCGGGUGGAGAUGACCAUAGGCCUGCUGAAAGCCCGUUUCCAGAGCCUACGUCUCCUCAGGGUGACCCCUGAGAGGGCCUGUGAUAUUACUGUGGCAUGUGUUGUUCUUCAUAAUAUUACCACUAUUAGAGGAGAGCAACACCCUGCCCUACAAACUGAAGACCCAGAUGAUGAGCCCAUCCACCUGCAGCUAUCCAGGACAGCAGAGCAGUCAGAGACACCGUAUGCAAUAAUCACUUUAGAGUUUAAGUCACCAUCAUCACCACCACAGCAAAUAAAGACAUGAUACACAUUU
Molecule: long non-coding RNA, 1356 nt
Organism: Acanthochromis polyacanthus (spiny chromis)
Lineage: Eukaryota; Metazoa; Chordata; Actinopteri; Pomacentridae
Exons: 2
Source: RefSeq, a predicted model, not a curated record